This is a long non-coding RNA of Xyrauchen texanus (razorback sucker), 466 nucleotides long. RefSeq lists it as uncharacterized. The transcript is spliced from 3 exons. The record is from RefSeq and is a predicted model, not a curated record. Lineage: Eukaryota; Metazoa; Chordata; Actinopteri; Cypriniformes; Catostomidae.
CUGAAUGAUAGGGCAAAGUGCACAGUAGCUAUAUGGAAAAAUACAGAUGCACUCUUACCUCUCAGAUGGCUGAAAGCGGUGAAAAUGUUCGCGGAGAUUCGCGCAACAUCAUUAAUAUUCACAUCACAGCGUUCGCGUAGACGGCGCGCGAAGAAGAAGAGCAACCAGCGCGAGACGCUGAAGUCGCUGCAGAGCUGAACAGCGGCCUUCCAUAUGAGCUCGUCUCGAUGAGGGUAUCUCUCUCUCGUCACUCUCUUCCCUCACGAUGAACGCUGUUCCUCUGGAUGGAAACCUUUAAAAGGACAAUGCUACAAAUUCUUCUCCAAGCAAGUUAACUGGGUCCAACUGGUAGAGAGAAACUGUCAAGACAUUAAUGGGAAUCUUUCAUCACAUAAACAAAUGGAAAAUGACUUUCUGCUGAGUCUUCUGACUGGUUCCACAAAUGCUUUGAUUGUUGGUGAUGAUG